ACAUAUAAACAAAUAUUUUUAAUUAAUUAAUUACUACGCUACAUUACAUAAAAAGAAAUAUUUUUAAUACAUUUUUUCAAAAAAAAAUUAAUUUAAAACUCACGUCGGUUUAAAAAAGUCAGUGAUAGGUUUCUGGGUGAAUGUAACUUCAUAGUUUUCUAGUCACUGUUUCCUGAUGCUGUUCAACUGGUCAUCAAAUUUGCAAUCUAACUCUGCACUGGUGACUGGUUUGGGAAAAUUUGACGAGAGUAUCAAAGGCUGCCAACACAUCAGCCCGAGAGGAUUUAUCCACUGGAGGUUCAGUAGGUUCAAUUUCUUGAUCUAAAAUUUCGGGUUUUUUAUCUUCUCCAUCUUUUCCAGCAUUUUCAUCGCAGACCUCGAGAUCAUUUCCAUUUGUAUAAAAAAUAGAUACAUAUGUACAUAUUGACAUUUUUCUAUUCGUGUUAAUCAACAAAACGACAAUAUGGUACCUUAAAUUUGUUCGAGUUUCGUGUUAACCGAAAUAAUUCGUAUAAACCGAGGAAAUAAAAAAAACCCCAUCUUAUAGUAUAGAGCCUUUCUCGGGACCGAAAAACCGGUUCACGUUUUCCAAUAAUUUGUGUUAACCGAGUUCCUGUUAGCGAGGGAAUACAACUGUAUAAUGUAAAAUGUUUAUUAUGCAGUAAACAGAAUAAAUUACCACAGGGCACAGACAAGUACAUUAAAGAAUUUGUGAGUGCCUAUUGCCGUUGUGUUGCACUAGUGUUGGCAGCACUUUCGACAGCAGCGAUGGUGCUUACAUAAUUAUUGGCUAUAUUCGUUAUUCUCGUUAUGUUGUUUAAAAGUUGCUCCCUUCAGUCUCUCCUCUCUUUGCCGUCGUUCGGAUAAGUCCUAUAGCCUUUAGGGGUAAUAGUAAUAGCUGCUACCCAGUUAUUAGUUAAUCGUUAUUACGUAACAGCCACCUUUUUUUGUUAUGCAUGCAAAAACUUCGUGUAUUUUUAUAGUGAAGUUUUUUUAUAUUAUUGUCUGCUGUGAUCAACGCUGGUUUUCUUGUUCUAUUGUCUGCCUAGGGUUGUCACUUUACCAGCAAUAGGACAAUUCUGACACCUUGUGUCUGUUGGUCCAGCUUUGUGAAUUGCACGUUGUUCAUUUGUUUGGCUGGUUGUCUUGUGCCAGUACCAUUUGUUCUGUGUGGCCAUGUUAUGUAAGUGAAUUAUACCUUUUAUAGUUGUGUGAGCUGCAGCUCGAUAUUUAGUACCAGUGUUUUAGUCACCUCAGUAAAUUUAUAUGAUUUUUAGGCUGACCGCCUGAGGCACUAUUGGCAUUUUGCUAUUAUUAUUAUUAUAUUGUUACAAAGGCCGUUUAAGGCAAGAUUGAUUUAUUAUAUUAUUAUUAUUAUUGUCACCAGAGCCAUUUUAGCCAUAAGUGUAUUUUUUUCAGUGUAAUUAUUUUGCCUUAAGCGUUUGUAUUAUUUAUUAUAUUUAUUUCUGUCAUUUGAGUCAACUUGGCUGUGAAUUAUUAAAUUAUUUUCUCUAUUGUAAUUAUAUUGGACCAAGUGGUCAGUUAUAUUCUAUCUCAUUCACAUUUAUAUAUUUAUUAUUGCUAAUUUGCAUUAACUAUUUGUUUAUUAUAUUACCAACCGGGCAGUUUGUUUUAUGA
This is a long non-coding RNA of Myzus persicae (green peach aphid), 1638 nucleotides long. RefSeq lists it as uncharacterized. The transcript has 2 exons. The record is from RefSeq and is a predicted model, not a curated record. Lineage: Eukaryota; Metazoa; Arthropoda; Insecta; Hemiptera; Aphididae.